Non-coding RNA from Dermacentor albipictus, 534 nucleotides. NCBI's taxonomy places the organism in Eukaryota, Metazoa, Arthropoda, Arachnida, Ixodida, Ixodidae. The record is from RefSeq and is a predicted model, not a curated record.
AUCAGCGGCCUGGCUCGCGCGUGACGCGAUGCGGCUGCGAAAGAAAGGUGACGAAACACAUUUAGGGCCGUCUGUGCUGGCAUGAGCGUUUGUACGCGCACACACUUGUAGCACACUUGCGUUCCUGCCGAGCUGCGGAGUGUACCCACCGGUUUGAGCAGAACGGGUGCGAAAUGGCAUGCUAGCGUAUUUUCUGCUAUAUUUCCGGGCACCGACUCCCGCCGACGGUUUCCUGUCGGCCACGAAUCACGUGCGCCCUCGAGCGAACAAGCCUACAAAGCCACUGGCAGCGCUCCUUCUCAGGGCAGCUAUGUGAGACGCUUGGCUUUCAAAGAAAGCAGAGUUUCAACCUCCUGAAAACACGAAAAAGGACGCAUGGUCAGCGCUUUUCUCAUCAUUGAUGGCAACAAGCAAACAAUGAAGAUGUAGGGAAGGCUUUAAGUCUUCCCACCUAGACGACGGCCAGGAGUCCUUGGACCCUAGCGGCGAUUUCGGCCAGUUGGACGGUCUUCAGUUGAAUCUCCGGAUCGGAGC